UGCUGUGAGUCAUCAGGCGGGUUCUCUCUC
This 30-nucleotide non-coding RNA is filed under the name Mus musculus (house mouse). The record is from RNAcentral. Lineage: Eukaryota; Metazoa; Chordata; Mammalia; Rodentia; Muridae.